AUGAACGCUGGCGGCGUGCCUAAUACAUGCAAGUCGAGCGAACAGACGAGGAGCUUGCUCCUCUGACGUUAGCGGCGGACGGGUGAGUAACACGUGGAUAACCUACCUAUAAGACUGGGAUAACUUCGGGAAACCGGAGCUAAUACCGGAUAAUAUAUUGAACCGCAUGGUUCCAUAGUGAAAGACGGUUUUGCUGUCACUUAUAGAUGGAUCCGCGCCGCAUUAGCUAGUUGGUAAGGUAACGGCUUACCAAGGCAACGAUGCGUAGCCGACCUGAGAGGGUGAUCGGCCACACUGGAACUGAGACACGGUCCAGACUCCUACGGGAGGCAGCAGUAGGGAAUCUUCCGCAAUGGGCGAAAGCCUGACGGAGCAACGCCGCGUGAGUGAUGAAGGUCCUCGGAUCGUAAAACUCUGUUAUUAGGGAAGAACAAAUGUGUAAGUAACUAUGCACGUCUUGACGGUACCUAAUCAGAAAGCCACGGCUAACUACGUG
This 496-nucleotide ribosomal RNA is filed under the name uncultured bacterium. Its description in RNAcentral is "partial 16S ribosomal RNA". It matches the Rfam family "Bacterial small subunit ribosomal RNA", at positions 29 to 507 of the family's 1533-position model. The record is from RNAcentral.